UGUGGAUGUGACAACAUGGAGGCUGUGGCUGUCUGGCUGACAUCCCACAGCCGAACAUAUCAUCACUGUCUAAAAGCUCAGUUUCUCACCUGAAAAAUGGAAACACACCAGACCCACAUCUGCUGUGCAUUCACUGGCCUGUCUGGACCACGUCCUCCCUUCUGUGAGUGUGGUAGCCAUGGGGUCACUGCGCAAGCUCCCAGGAGCCCCGCCUGAGCUGCUCUGAUCCAGGCCACAGAAGCAGCCCCUACUGGGACAUGCCACUCUCAGGGAAGAGGACGCAGGAGCACGGGAGCUCAUGGAAAUGACAGCAGUCCCUGAGGCAGUUUGCAUCCCCAUGAAGAUUGGAACAACCUGGAUGGCUCCUAUAAGUUCCUGGAUUGAUUUCCUAUCACCUUUAUGGAUAGGUGGAGAAAUCUGAAUGUACAAGAGAAGGAGUUAAGAAUACGGAAUUACUAUUCAUUGAGUUGGCGUGAAAUGCUAUUGAAGGCCUAUGGAAAAUAUCUUUUUAGAGAUUCAUGCUGAAUAUUUAGGGAUAUAAUAUCAUGAUAUCUAUAAUUCACUUUAAAAUAUUUCAGCAUAAAAAUGGAAAUUGAUAAAAUAUACAGGGUGCAGAUAAUAUUAACAUGAAGAUUCCAGAGAUCAUUUGUUUUGUACAGUACAAACUCAAUAUUUUUUCAAAAAAUUCAGAUGUUAUGAAAAAGGCAGAAAUAAAAAAUAAAGAAAUUUAGUUAGAAUGAAUAGAGAACAAAAAUCCAACCCAAGAAUUUGAGAAACCCCAAAGGCACCGAGCAGUGGGUUGGUCUGGGCACCUCCACCUCCUUGCUCUGUCUCGCCUCCCUUUCCCAUCUGCUCUCUUCUCCAUUUUCUCUCUCACACAAACAUGUUCACAUACUUUGGAAGGUCUUCAUAUCAUCUAACCCCUUAAUGUUUAAAGAUAUUUAAUGAUACCCCCAAUCUUUUUAGCUCUUUGUGGUUUUCUAAGUGCUGUCAUCUGCCAUGUGGUUCUCAAACCUGCGAGAGAGGCUUCAUGGGUAGGAUGAAGAGGCUUGGAGAGGCUGUGCUCUCUCCUCAAGGCCCUGCCCCUAGGGAGGAGCAGAGGAGGCGCGAAGAGCUGGUUUCUCAGUGUCGAGUCAGGGGCCCUUUCCCAGACCACGCCCACAUCCCUUCCCCUCUCCGCGGAGCUGCACUGCAGGGGGUUGGUGUCUCCCAGGCCCCCUGAUCACACGGGUGUUCAGGACCCACUGACUCUUACAGACUCAGAGCAGUGCUUCCCAAAGUGCAGGGCCAGAACCACUAGCUGGUUGCUGAAAAGGGCUUAGUUUUCAGAACAGAACUACUGAAUCACCUCAAGGAAGGGGACCUGAACUUCUUUUUCUAAAUGAGCAUUUCAGGUGACACUAAUGUACCCUAAAGUGUGGGGCACACUUGCCUUGAGGCCAAGAAAGCAGAUGGGCCAGUAUUCCAGAGUGCCCUCUGGCUUCCCUCAGCCCUGUUGCAGCCUCCAACCCCUGUUUCUGUCUGGGAGGAGCCCCCGCCUGCUUAGGGAGGGGCUUCGGCAGGGCGGAGCGGCGAGCCUGGAGUUCCUCCCUCCUCCUCCUCCUCCUCACACCACAGGGAAGGUACGCUAGCAUGAAGUAAGGGUAAACUUGAUGUUUCUGUUCUGUUGUGGCAGAUUAAGUGGCUUUUUUAAUUUAACAGUUAUUAUAAAGAUCUUUUCAUAUAUAAGUGAAAACAUUUUAACAUCAUAUAUGAUAGAGUAUUCCACUGAUUUAAUGGAUUACAUCAUUUCUAAAACAGCUUUAUUUGAGAUAUAAAUCAGUACCGUUAAAAUGGACUUCCUUAAAGUAUACAGUUCAAUAGUUUUGAUCUAUUAACAGAGCUGUGCAUUCAUCACCACAGUCUAACUUCAGGGAGUUUCCAUCACCCCCAAAAGAAACUCUCAUUUGUCUUUUCCCACAGUUACUGGUGGCCACUAGUCUCCUUUCUGUCUCUAUGGUUUUGCCUCUUCUGUAAUUUUUAAACAGAAUCUCUACUGCUGAGUGUUUAUGUUGUUCCUACAUUUUUACCAUUAUUAACAAGGCUAUGAUGAACGUCUAAUAUAUCCAUUUCUAUACUUUUGUCCAAUUAUAUUCUUAAGAUACAUUUCUAGAAUUAGAAUUUGUUUAAUCAGAAAUAUGUUCUUUUGUUUGUUUCCAAAGUCACAAAAUGACAUUGUUGAGGAUACAUUCUUCUCUUUGGUGUGCAUGGAAAAAUAGUCAUAUGGAGAAAAUAUUUGGUAAUAAUAACAAUAAGAGAGAGAGAAAAUGUAUAUUUUUUAUCACACUUCUAUGAACUUUGAGAAAUAUAGAAUUAAAUGUACAAAAACUGGAAGACCAAGUAUAAGCAGUCUGCAUUUGCUUCAGUGCUCAGUACUAUCAUAAUGAUCACAAAAA
Manis javanica (Malayan pangolin) is the source of this 2435-nucleotide non-coding RNA. The record is from RefSeq and is a predicted model, not a curated record. NCBI's taxonomy places the organism in Eukaryota, Metazoa, Chordata, Mammalia, Pholidota, Manidae.